CUGUUUGGUUUGUUUAUUCACGUUCACCCGACCUAUUAUAAUUAAAGACCAACGGACUUAGAAGAAGAGCCCGGGAAGAUACUUUAUGCAUUUGAUAUGUGGACAAACCCAACACUGGAUUUGUAAUGAAGCCUCACUUUGCCUAUUACUAAAUGUGUGAACUUGGGGUUAUUAUGAAAAACCCAUUAAAUGGUACACGUUACCACAGAGCCUGACUCAUGGAAAGACCAGAUACUUGCUGAUGUUUUCAGACAGGUCUUUAUCCUGAAUAAAGCUGGGAGCUUCUUGAGAAGAUGGCUGCUUCUAUUCUAUCUGAAUUCUCUAGAGGUACUCCGCACAGCCCAGAACUUGGAACAGAGCCAUUCUAUGAUUGAUAAAUAAUGAUCUAAGCCAAUAUUUGAGCGAGAGUUUUCAUCUUGGUGUUCCUAGUCUUGUAUAAUUGAAAGUGUAGCAAAUACUUACUAUCUUGUUGAAAGUCUUUAUAAUGUAACCCCACACAUGUAUACAUACUUACAUGCAUACAUUAGUAAUACUAUGCUAGAUAAAGCACCUGACUGUUUCUUGAUUUAUCAGCAACAUGGAGAGCAUUUUUGCUUUUUAAAAACUUUAAAACAUUCCAGAGCCUUUUUUUUUCUUAAUACAGUUCUGAAGGCUAGGAAUUUGAAAUCACAGUGUUGGCAGGGCCUGGGUCAGAAUCAAGGUCAGAAGGCCUGGGGAAGAAUCUUCCUUGCCACUUCAAGAGCCUGGUGAUGGCCAGCCAUCCUUGCCAUGUCUCGGCUUGUGACUUCAUAAUUCCGAUCUCUGCUUCCAUCUUCACAUGGCCAUCUUCCCUUCAUGUCUGUGUCCAAAUGUCUUUAGUCUUAUGAGGACAUCAGUGUUUGGAUUAGACCCACCCUUAUCCAAUACAACCUUGUCUUCCACUUGAUUACACCUGCUAAGAUCCCAUUUUUAAAUUAGGUAAUAUUUACAGAUUCUGGAUAGACAUGAAUUGGGGAAAUGCCACUCAACCCAAUACAACAAUUAUAUAUGGAGAUGUUGGCACCUUGGUCUUGAUAAUUGACAGAACGAAUAGAGUAAGUACAUAUCAGCCAACUCGACCUGCCAUUCACAGAACACUAUAACCAACAAAGGCAGAAUGCACAGUCUUUCGAGUGCAUCUCAAACAUUCACCAAGACAGGUCAUAUAAAAACCAAAUGACAGCCCAUCCCAAAGGACUGAAAUUGUACACAGUAAGGUUUUUGGCAAGAGAAUGGAAUUAAAAAGAAAGCAAUAACAAAAGACAGGUAAAACUUCCAAAUAUAUGAAAAUUAUAAACACACUCUCUAUAACACAUUUCUAAGGAA
This is a long non-coding RNA of Artibeus jamaicensis (Jamaican fruit-eating bat), 1344 nucleotides long. RefSeq lists it as uncharacterized. The transcript is spliced from 3 exons. The record is from RefSeq and is a predicted model, not a curated record. Lineage: Eukaryota; Metazoa; Chordata; Mammalia; Chiroptera; Phyllostomidae.